Pelobates cultripes (western spadefoot toad) is the source of this 240-nucleotide non-coding RNA. The record is from the annotation of a GenBank genome assembly. NCBI's taxonomy places the organism in Eukaryota, Metazoa, Chordata, Amphibia, Anura, Pelobatidae.
GGCGGACUGACCUUUUGCGCCAGCCGCGUGCUGAAAGGGCUGCGCUUUUUGCGCCAUCAUCAGCUUCAUCCAGAGAGGCAGGUCCAUCUGGUCCCACCUCAUAACCGGAUUGGCCGCCAGCCGCUGCCGGAACUGUUCGUCAUACCGCCACCAGGCCAGCCCGCCAUAGGUGCGGUAUGCCUCCCAAAUCCCUUCCAAGUAGCGAAACAGAGAAGAGCACGCGCCCGGCGAUUUCUCCCC